AAGGCUUUAAGUUAAAAAAACUAAUAGCCUUCAAAGCUAUAAAUAAUAGAUCAUCUUUUAAGCCUUA
RNAcentral lists this transfer RNA (67 nucleotides) under Clephydroneura sp. RNAcentral's name for it is "tRNA-Trp". It matches the Rfam family "tRNA". From Rfam's summary of the family: Transfer RNA (tRNA) molecules are approximately 80 nucleotides in length. Their secondary structure includes four short double-helical elements and three loops (D, anti-codon, and T loops). Lineage: Eukaryota; Metazoa; Arthropoda; Insecta; Diptera; Asilidae. The record is from RNAcentral.